This 1378-nucleotide ribosomal RNA is filed under the name human gut metagenome. RNAcentral describes it as "bacterial LSU rRNA". It matches the Rfam family "Bacterial large subunit ribosomal RNA", at positions 1098 to 2494 of the family's 2925-position model. The record is from RNAcentral.
AGGUUGGCUCAGAAGCAGCCAUCCUUUAAAGAGUGCGUAACAGCUCACUAGUCGAAUGACUCUGCGCCGAUAAUUUACCGGGGCUAAGCAUACUACCGAAGCUAUGGAUCCCAAGGGAUGGUAGGGGAGCGUUCCAUGAACGGAGAAGUACGACCGAAAGGACGUGUGGAGAUCAUGGAAGAGAGAAUGCCGGUGUGAGUAGCGGAACGUGGGUGAGAAUCCCACGCACCGAAAACCCAAGGUUUCCAGAGGAAGGUUCGUCCGCUCUGGGUAAGUCGGGACCUAAGGCGAGGCCGAAAGGCGUAGUCGAUGGACAACAGGUAGAGAUUCCUGUACCCGUAUAUAUGUGAAGGAAUGACGGAGAGAGGAAGCUGCAGCCAGCGGCUGGAAGAGCUGGUGCAAGCGAGAUAUCGGGAUGGCAGGCAAAUCCACCAUCCGAAACGAGAAGGCGUGAAGCGUACGGAAAGCUACGGCGAGUACGGAAGGCAGUGGAGGAACUUCCAAGAAAAGUUUCUAACGUAAAGUAUAUAUGGCCCGUACCGAAAAUGGACACACAUGGGUGAGGAGAGAAUCCUAAGGUGAGCGAGAGAACUAUAGCUAAGGAACUCUGCAAAAUGACUCCGUAACUUAGGGAGAAGGAGUGCUCAUAGAGAUAUGAGCCGCAGUGAAACGGCCCAAGCGACUGUUUACCAAAAACACAGCUCUCUGCUAAGCCGCAAGGCGAAGUAUAGGGGGUGACGCCUGCCCGGUGCUGGAAGGUUAAGGGGAGGGGUUAACGCAAGUGAAGCCCUGAACUGAAGCCCCAGUAAACGGCGGCCGUAACUAUAACGGUCCUAAGGUAGCGAAAUUCCUUGUCAGGUAAGUUCUGACCCGCACGAAAGGCGUAACGAUUUGGGCGCUGUCUCAGCUGUAGACUCGGUGAAGUCUUAGUACCUGUGAAGAUGCAGGUUACCCGCGACUAGACGGAAAGACCCCAUGGAGCUUCACUGCAGGUUGAUAUUGGGAUUUGAUGCAGCAUGUACAGGAUAGGUAGGAGGCAAAGAGAUGGAUACGCCAGUAUUCAAGGAGCCGCUGUUGGGAUACUACCCCUGUUGUAUUGGAUUUCUAACCGGACGACGUAGAGCCGUUGACGGGACAGUGUCAGUCGGGCAGUUUGACUGGGGCGGUCGCCUCCCAAAGAGUAACGGAGGCGCCCAAAGAUACCCUCAGCUUGGAUGGAAACCAAGCGCAGAGUGCAAAGGCAAAAGGGUGUUUGACUGCGAGACCCACAAGUCGAGCAGGGACGAAAGUCGGGCUUAGUGAUCCGGCGGUGCUGAAUGGAAAGGCCGUCGCUCAACGGAUAAAAGCUACCCUGGGGAUAACAGGCUGAUCUCCCCCA